This 101-nucleotide transfer RNA is filed under the name Hypoxylon rubiginosum. RNAcentral's name for it is "tRNA-Arg". It matches the Rfam family "tRNA". Rfam says of the family: Transfer RNA (tRNA) molecules are approximately 80 nucleotides in length. Lineage: Eukaryota; Fungi; Ascomycota; Sordariomycetes; Xylariales; Hypoxylaceae. The record is from RNAcentral.
GGGCUCAUGGCCUAAUGGUAAGGCGUUAGAUUUCGGUUCCCUCUCCAACUCAGGGUUCACCAGUCCUCUAAAGAUUGCAGGUUCGAUCCCUGCUGAGCUCG